Molecule: unclassified non-coding RNA, 745 nt
Filed under: Hevea brasiliensis (rubber tree)
Lineage: Eukaryota; Viridiplantae; Streptophyta; Magnoliopsida; Malpighiales; Euphorbiaceae
Source: RNAcentral
UGUAUAUUAGCUAGAAGUGUUCGGCUCUAAUUUUGGUAUGGUUCUAUCAAAAAUUGAAAUCGAACACUUCUAGCUAAUAUACAAUGAAGAGAACAUUUGACGUUGUUGACCGUGAAACAACAUCAGGAUUUAACUAAUGUAGCCACAAAUUCAUCUAUGUUUCUGUCUGAAGUUCCACCUUCAUCAAUUGCCUCUUUGGAUAACUUCUUCCAUUUCCUUGCAUUGUCCUUGAUUUCUUUCGCUUUCGCUCCUUCCAUUACUUCCCUUACGCAAAGGUCCACCACUUCUCUUCUCACAAUACCUUUCUCAUCAGGCCGAGCUCUAAUUCCCAUUUUCCAAACAUCUUCUACAUACUUAGCAUUAGUGGGUUGGUCUGACCAGUGUGGCAUUGCCACCAAUGGAACUCCCAAGCUCAAAGCUUCAAGAACAGAAUUGAACCCACAAUGUGUAAGAAAGCACCCUACUGCCUCAUGUGAUAGGACCUCCAGUUGUGGGCUCCAUGCAACCACCAAACCUUUCUCAGAUGUCUCCUCUAUGAAGUUGCCAGGCAGCUUAGAUUGCUCUGCUGCUCUAACAACCCACAGGAAGUAGCGUUUGGUUCCCUUCAACCCCCAAGCUAGCUCCUCCAUUUGUUCAACUCCAAGUUCUGCCAGGCUCCCAAAAGAUACAUACACCACUGAACCACUAGGCUUAUCAUGCAGCCAAUUCAUGCAAGCACUAGAAUCCGGCUUAAAGAGAUUGAUGC